UUAAUAUCUUACUGUAUGUUAAAGAACACCUUACUACAGGAUUGUAUUGGCAUUAAGAUGAUGCAAUUAGGAAGUAUCUAGCAAAAGAAAAGUCUUUUAUGACCUUGACAUGUUAAUGUUUUUAUAGCCUUUGGUGACUUAGUUUUGGAUUUCAUUAUAUGACAAAAUUUUAUUUUACUGCACAUCUUAGUGGAGUAGCACAUUUUUAUUUUUAAUUUUUUUUCCAGUUCAUAUUUUAGCAUUAUCGUAUACUUUUUCAUUUUCUCUGUGACCCAAUCUCCCAGAAAAGUGCAGGUGAUUUUGCAAGAAACAAUGCAAUUUCAGCAUAGCAGAAGGGUAUGAAAUACAGACUAUAUUUAUGAACUCAUUGCCUUUGCAGUAAAGUUUCCUGGAUGAUUUAGUUUUCAAUUCUCAUAAAAUUUAAAGGAUUAUGACUAAGUUUCUGAACCAUGAUGACUGGCGCCUCAUUGCAAUUUACAAAGAAACCACUUCAAUGAGAAAAAGUUGUGCAGCUCAUGAUGUUUUAAAUCAAGUCUCAAUCAAGGUGGUUUAUUGA
This 556-nucleotide long non-coding RNA is filed under the name Coturnix japonica (Japanese quail). RNAcentral describes it as "lncRNA (ENSCJPG00005017567.1)". Lineage: Eukaryota; Metazoa; Chordata; Aves; Galliformes; Phasianidae. The record is from RNAcentral.